This 560-nucleotide long non-coding RNA is filed under the name Homo sapiens (human). Its description in RNAcentral is "non-protein coding ZEB1-AS1:29". The record is from RNAcentral. Lineage: Eukaryota; Metazoa; Chordata; Mammalia; Primates; Hominidae.
AACCUUGUUGCUAGGGACCGGGCGGUUUGCGGCAACCGUGGGCACUGCUGAAUUUGAAUUGAGGGGCGAGGGAAAAGUUUUCCUCAGGUGUGGUGGGGAGAGGGAGGCGGAUGCCGGGAAACCGUAGGGACGCGGUCAGAAAGGCGACGGGCUGUCGGAGUUGGAAAGGUAAAGUUGGAGGCAGGGCUACCAUCAGUCCCACGCCUCGCGUGUCCGCCCCCCGCACCCCGGGGCCAAGGAAAGGGAUCGCGGUCUGGACUCCCCGGGGAGUUCCCUUGAUGAGGGGAAGGGCAGGUUUGGGGACGGCGAGGACACGCGGCGACCGGAGAGAGGCUACCUGACCCGCGCAGCCCGGACUCCCUUCCCUUCCCUUCCAGGGACGCCUGGUUUCCCCCCAAGCGAACCGGGAUGGGAAGUGACUUCAAUGAGAUUGAACUUCAGCUGGAUUGAAAGAGAGGCUAGAAGUUCCGCUUGCCAGCAGCCUCCUUAGUAGAGCGGAAUGAGUAAUACCCACACGGUGCUUGUCUCACUUCCCCAUCCGCACCCGGCCCUCACCUGCU